AAUGAAUGACAAACAUCUGCUGCAGCUGUGCGUCACUGCGUUUCUGCUCGACUCUCAGUCAUGUUGUCCUUGGCCCCCCUCUCACUCCGUCUCGUGGCCUCUGGUUGCCAAGGAAGCAGGCGAUCAGUAGCAACCGUCGUCUCCGGCAACAAGACAUCCAAGUUGGUGAGGGAUAGACUGAGGAUGGAGGUGGAGAAGAUGAGGGGUCAGUUCUCAGGGUUCAGGCCCAGUCUGGUCGUGUUACAGGUGAGUCUGGUUUUACAGCUGAGUCCAGAGCGUAAGUGUCAACAAAACAACACAAAAGUCUGUAGGUGAUUCUACAGUUGGACAUUUAAACCUCAAAAUCUGGACUCAGUCUGUGUAUUCAGCUGUGAAAAACACCAACGCUGUUUACUUAACCUGGCAUAAUGCAACUGUUU
Amphiprion ocellaris (clown anemonefish) is the source of this 419-nucleotide long non-coding RNA. Lineage: Eukaryota; Metazoa; Chordata; Actinopteri; Pomacentridae. The record is from Ensembl.